Molecule: unclassified non-coding RNA, 5699 nt
Filed under: Leishmania donovani
Lineage: Eukaryota; Euglenozoa; Kinetoplastea; Trypanosomatida; Trypanosomatidae
Description: gene:LdHU3.23.1300(CDS-product:Putative_serine_es terase_(DUF676)_putative)
Source: RNAcentral
GUAGGGACGAAUACAGCGUAGAACUAAACGCGUUCUCACGAGCCCAUCAUAACCUAUACUACAAAACAGAUUGGACGUCGAGAACGCACGCACGCACGCAGACACACACACACACACACACACACACACACACGCACACACACAGAGGCCGCUGCUCGCUCUUUUCUCUCUGUACUCGAGCGCCUGGCUUCUGCUGCCGUUCCUCAUUCCGCAUUCCUCAUCUCUCUCUCUUCCACUUGGGCUUUCGCCGCCUUUUCUUGGUUUUCGUUAUCUUGUGUUUGGUUGUCGCGCGUCUUCUCUAUCUCUGCACCGCCCCCCUCCCUUCCCUCGAAUAUACUCCCCCUUACAUCGUGCGCAGAGCGCGCCAGAGCGGUUUCUCCUCCCCUCACACCCCCUAACGCGAACGACCACCUGUAUUAUCUCCCUCCCAGGGGCUUCCGUCUCCGAUUUGUCGUUGCCUUCUUUGUGUCUCUUGGCUGGGCUCUGCUGCAGGGCUCGUUCUCGCGUAGGUGCGCGUCUGCACACCGGCUCUUGUUUAUUGAUGUGGACAGACAGACAUAUAUGCUUUUACAUGUUCCGUUUUCCCUCCUUCCUUCUUUGUGUUUGCUGCCGACUGUCGAUUUGUGUAUACUUUUAUGUAUGAAUUUCGGCCGAGCGCGUCUUUUUCCAAUUCCCAGUGUGGCGGAUCUCUUGCCCCUCUUGCUUCUCUGGGCGCUCUCUGCGCGUCUUUUGGGUUUAUCUCUGCAUCUCUCUUUCUUUCCGUGUUUCGCAGCUCUCACCCUCGCAGUGCGCGUUGUGUCUGUGUCGUGCCAUAGCACCUUCGCGGCGCUGCCACAGGAGCGGACAAGAAGCCACCACACACACACACACACACACACACACACACACGCAUAUAUAUUUAUAGAGCAUAGUCGAAAAAGGAAAAAAAACGCGAAUGCUGCACGGUCUUCUCAAGUGGUGCCUGUCGUCAAGCUCCACGCCGCAGGACGCUUUCAAGCGCGUGCACGCGCGCCUCGCCUGCCCGCCGCAGCUGAGCCGCUCAGACGCGGACAGCAGCGGUGCCAUAGCACCAGAGUCCCGAGUCGUUGACCCGUAUCACUUCAUUGUAUGUCAGCACGGUGUUCUCGGCAGCGCGGCCGACUUCGAAAACGUCAUCGUGGACGCUUUUGUGAGCCACGAAGUCAGUGUGCUGGAGGCGUCGGAGAUGGUGGCGGCUGCCAAGUGGGAGGAGGCAGCAGCGCGCAUGGCAGCGAUGUCGGCGGUUGAAUGCGCGGGGGAAAGAGGCGUGAGCGUACGAGGCGAAUUCUCUGGGUCCCCGCUGCCCUUCUACGGCAGCCCGUGCCCGAGGUACCGCUGCUCCAGUGUUCCUCCCUCUGCGCCCGUCCCUGUCGCGUGCAUCCCCGGCACCAGUGGCGCCCGCCAUACUGUACUGAGUCUCACGAGCAGCCUGCCGACUGUGCCGGGGAGUACGACGACCCCGGUAAGCUCCACGGACGACAGCGUGAUGCCGAGGACCGAGCUGAAGGAGGUGCUGUUGGAAGCAGCUUCCAUGAAGGCGGCGGCGGCGCAGAGGCAUCAAUGGCAGGCUGCUUCCAUGCGCGACAUUGCAGACGAUGCCGACAAGGCUUCAGGGCUGCAUGAGGUGGAUCCCGGCUCAAACUUGGAUAAUGCCUUGGCGGCCGAGCAGCAUGCGCGGCGCGCCGCGUACAAGGCUGCCUAUCGCUUGCAGAUUGAGUACCCGAACCGCAUGAAUGGGCGUCUCUACCGCAGCGGCAACUUGCAGUGCUUCUCACCGGGCAGCAACGAGUACCUGCGCACAGAUGCUGGCACACAGGCUUGUGCGCACAGGAUGCUGGCGGAGGUUGUCCCUGCCCUGCAGACGUGGCUAAACGAGGUGGAGUCGAAGGAGCAGCAGCGCCGGGCCAAGUGGGCGGUUUACGCUCGCACAGUGGGCACAAGCGACGCGGCUCGCCUCUCGACAGAGGCGGCAGCACCGCUUCCGAUAUGCUUCUCUGUGAUGGCGCACAGCUUCGGCGGCAUUAUCCAGCGCGAGUUUCUCUAUCUUCUUCUCGUCGAUCAAGCGGAAACGCGAGCAAGCGACGCCGUGCUCUUCCACGACAUUGUGAAUCUGCGCCAGAGGCUGCAGAGACUGAACGUCACCUUUGAGAAUUUCCUGACUGUGGCCACACCGCACUGCGGUACUGGGGAAUGCCUUUGGUGGCCAAUCUACUUUGGUGCCUGGUGCCUCGCGCGCAUGAAGCUCUGCCAGACCUACGACGAACUCAUAUUGUCCGACGCGAACCGCAUCUUGCAGCGACGCCUCCUUGACGAGCCUCACCUGCGCGUGCUGCAACUCUUCCGGCGCCGUGUGCUGUUUGCGAACACGCACCGCGACAUCUUAGUCGGAUUUGGCACGUGCUCACUUAUUUUCGAGAAUGUGGACACGGACCACACCAAGUUCAUCGGCGUGGCCCCCCGCACGGCGCACUGCGCGGCAGCCUUUGCGAACGAGGCGACAGAAGUGUCGAAGCCGAUUCUGCUGCGUUCUUUCGAAGAGAUGGAGGAGGAAGAAGCAUACGGCGGCGGCAGCGGCAGCAGCAGCAGCAGUGGCCGGCACGAUUCUCAGCGCUCUGCGUCGGCGCGUGCGAGGAGCUACACCAUGGAUGACCUUGUUUCUGCUUUGGCGCCUCCACCAGAUGCUGCUGCUGCCAAGAUGGUGCAUCAGGUGCCGCACUCAUCUGCACUUAAGUGCGCCGGCACGCUGGAGAGCGUCAUGGAGGGUUACUCCGAUGACAGCGAUUUCAUGACAGCAACCCUGCGGCCACAGGCUACAUCAUCGUCCGUGUCAGGUUUGACGGCGUCGCCCACGUCGACGCUCCCGUCAUACUCCCAAUCGCCGAUGCCCGACAGCACCACUGUGACAAGGAUGCAAUCCUCUGUAUUCGCUGCAUCGUGGACGAUCGGGAGAACGGUACCGGUGCAUGAUGAAGAGACGGUGCGCGUGGAGGAUGUAGCCGCUCCGUUGGUUGACCACAUUGACGGGGGUAGAAGCGAGUUCGACAAUGGCUCGCAGUCAUCCGCGUCUGCAGCAUCGACGGUCGGCUCACUGCUGCCGCGACCGUUCUCCCUAUUGCGGCGACACGACAGCUUGAUUUUACCCUCGCCGCUUCUGAAACGGUUCAUCUGUAGAAGCAGCGAAGGUGCAGCGACGAGCGAUGUUCAGGACUUCGGCGACGUGGGCUCCGUAACGUCGUCGCGCCGCAGCCGCAACAGCAGCACCGUGACAUCUCUCCUGCGCGAUCCUCGCUGGGCCUCCGAGUGCGUUCGCAGCGUCGCCUCAACAGUGCACGCGGAAGUGGAGAGGUGGCUGCGGGCUCCAACGACGAGUCCGAGGACAGGCGAGACGUCGAGAUUGAGUGAAUCGAAUAUGGACGCUGCCGCGGCCGCGGAGAGUGUGAUGGCGUUCUCUGCGCGCACGUCUGCGGUCGCGUCAGCGCGGUCUUCCAUGACACCGCUGAUGCCCGGAACAGAGGCAGAUUUUCCGCAGUACCGUCAAAUUCCUCGCGCCAUUGCGGCGACGCUGCGCCGAACGAUGAGCUGGCGCGUUCGCGCCAUCCGACUCGACAAUAUUCUGCCAGCGGGCCACGUUGCGUGUCUGGGCAACUGGGCCUUCUUAGGCCGCUCACCAUCGGUGGUUCAGGCUGCUGCCGAGGAGAUGCUCAUCAUUCUCUAGUGUGUUGCCGUCCUCGUACAUGCUGCUGCUGCUCCGUGCGCCGUGCCGUGAGAGAAGGCGACACAUAGGUGCACAUGUGCGUAUCUAUCACUAUCUCGGAGAAGGGCAGGUGGGGGUGGGUAUCUCUUCGGCGCCUUUGUUUCAAAGCUGGCUGGAUUCAUGUCGACGCCUAUUUUGGUGCCCUUGCUAUGGAUUCGUGGUGCAUGGUGCAUACAAUAACGCACACAGACACGGCCGCGCACGUGCGAAAAGAAAGCAUGGAUGAGGGGGAGAUGGAUGGUAUCGGCAUGCGUCUGCAUGGGCGUGUCAGGUGUAUGUUUGCCUGUCAUGAUGCGCCUUCCGCCCCUCUCCCUUUUACGAAUAUCUGGUGUUGUCGUCCUGCUCUUCCGGUGCGUCUGUGUUUUGCUUCAAGGCGAAAAAAAGAGUGUGUUCAUCGUUACGUCGGGCUUGACGUCGCCUUGCAGGCUCACGCGCCGCGCCUCUGCCUCUGCCUUUAUUUCCCUUUUGAAUUUCGUUCGUUACGGAUUUUGCUGUGGCACGCAUGUGCAAAUGUGUGCAUAUACGUAUGUGCGUGAUCUUACUUGGGCUACCAGAAUAAAAACGCUUUAAUGCUUCCAUUGUUUGUGCUUUUGUCCGUCUUGCUGCUUGCGUUCCACUGUGGCGUUGGGUUGCUGUCGCCACGUCGGCGCGGUUUUUUGCUGCGUGGUUGUGCAUGCGCGUAGGGGGAGGGAGGGAAGGGGGAGGGGCUUCGAAGCGCGAGCAUUUAUAUUGGCUCGCGUGUCUGCGCGCGCACGGCCCUGCCGGUUGCGGCGCGUCGCUGAUGGCUCACUCACUCCUUCUCUCUCUUUCAUUUUCUCACUUGAUGGAUUAGGUUUUCGUUGACAUAGUCCUCCUCUCGCUUCUCUUCUCGUGCUCUGUCUCGUUGUGUGUGGCUUUCUCUUGUGCUCACUCAACGGUCCUCCCCCUUCCCACUUCUCUUCGUCUUGUCAUUGCCUUCUCCUUUUCUUCAAGCCCGGCUCUUUUCAGUGUGCUUUCAUUUUUUUUUGUUUUCUUGUCCGGUAUGCGAGUGUUCUGCUUUGACACCCCUCGCCUUCUCCACACCGCCCCACUCUCCAUCCUUCCCUUCCUCCCCUUGGCCCUCUCUGUCUUGUGCACAUCCUUAUCCUUCUGUCCUCCUCUCUAUUCGACACCCGUUUUAACUGUCUCUUGCUCUUGUUCUCUCGCUCUGCGUGUGCUUGCCUGUGUGCCACCUUCAGCCCACCGCCCCACCCAACCCCCUCUUCUCUUCGGCAUUCACGGAGAUGGCACCGCCUUGUCGCCCCUUUUCUCUCUCUUUUGUUUGCCAUGUCCGUUUUACAUUUCUCUUUUUUAUUCUUGUAUAGUUCAACGCCCAUUCGCCUUUCUAUGUGCACACAUGCCCAUCAUCAUCGCCCCCAUCUCCCUUCCUCUUCUUCCUCCUUCCUGAUCUAUACGACGGCCCCGUCAGCGGGUUGGUUUUGUGGGGAGGGGAGGGGAUGGGCUCUUCUUCCUUUUGUGUGUCUGCUUCCCUUUAGCGGAAUGUCGCGUGCCUGUGGCGUCGUGUGCGAUAGACGCGCCUGACUCUCUUUUUUUGUUCCCUCGUCGUGGCUUCCACGUGUUUGUGUGUCGUGAUGGAUUUCUACCUCUUCCUCUUCCCGCCGCACCGCUUCGGCUCUGCGCGCAACGGUUGCGCAUGUCUGUGCGCGUGCGUGCGCGGGCAUCGAGGCGAUGCCUUCCUCCUUUUGUGUGUGUGGGGGUGGGUGUGCCAGAGCAAGACGGGACAUACACCCCCGACACUCCUCUGCCCUCUUUGCCCCUCUCGCGGGACACAGGGAGGCGCGCAUAUGCACAUACGCAUGUAUGCAUUAUUGCUGUUCCGUGCUCGUCGUUCCUGCGUUCUUAUCAAAAGAACGACCGAUGGAACGGGACACUCGCAUUCCUCGGCUCG